AAUUUAAAGUCUAACCUGCCCACUGAUAAAUUUUAAAGGGCCGCAGUAUUUUGACUGUGCAAAGGUAGCAUAAUCAUUUGUCUUUUAAUUAAAGGCUAGAAUGAAUGGUUGGAUGAAAUAUUAACUGUCUCAUUUUUAAAAAUAUAAAAAUUUAUUUUUUUAGUUAAAAAACUAAAAUAAAUUUAAAAGACGAGAAGACCCUAUAGAUCUUUAUAAAUUUUAUUUGUAUAAAAAUUAGUUUAUAAAAUUAUUAUAUAUAAUAUAUUUAUUUUAUUGGGGUGAUAGGAAAAUUAAAUAAACUUUUUUUAUUAUAUAAACAAUGAUUUUUGAAUAUUUGAUCCAAUAGUAUUGAUUAUAAAUUUAAGUUACCUUAGGGAUAACAGCGUAAUUUUUUUUAAGAGUUCUUAUCGAAAAAAAAGUUUGCGACC
Molecule: ribosomal RNA, 428 nt
Filed under: Cabralis gloriosus
Lineage: Eukaryota; Metazoa; Arthropoda; Insecta; Neuroptera; Psychopsidae
Description: partial 16S ribosomal RNA
Source: RNAcentral